RNAcentral lists this ribosomal RNA (435 nucleotides) under uncultured fungus. RNAcentral describes it as "eukaryotic LSU rRNA". It matches the Rfam family "Eukaryotic large subunit ribosomal RNA", at positions 1 to 432 of the family's 3401-position model. Lineage: Eukaryota; Fungi. The record is from RNAcentral.
GACCUCAAAUCAGGUAGGAUUACCCGCUGAACUUAAGCAUAUCAAUAAGCGGAGGAAAAGAAACUAACAAGGAUUCCCCUAGUAACUGCGAGUGAAGCGGGAAGAGCUCAAAUUUAAAAUCUGGCGGUUUCACCGUCCGAGUUGUAAUCUGGAGAAGUGUUAUCCGUGCUGGACCGUGUACAAGUCUCUUGGAAUAGAGCGUCAUAGAGGGUGAGAAUCCCGUCUUUGCCACGGACUGCCAGUGCAUUGUGAUGCGCUCUCAACGAGUCGAGUUGUUUGGGAAUGCAGCUCAAAACGGGUGGUAAACUCCAUCUAAAGCUAAAUAUUGGCGAGAGACCGAUAGCGAACAAGUACCGUGAGGGAAAGAUGAAAAGAACUUUGGAAAGAGAGUUAAACAGUACGUGAAAUUGUUGAAAGGGAAACGCUUGAAGUCAG